This 448-nucleotide ribosomal RNA is filed under the name uncultured bacterium. Its description in RNAcentral is "SSU rRNA". It matches the Rfam family "Bacterial small subunit ribosomal RNA", at positions 26 to 520 of the family's 1533-position model. The record is from RNAcentral.
AGAACGAACGCUGGCGGCAUGCCUAACACAUGCAAGUCGAACGAGACCUUCGGGUCUAGUGGCGCACGGGUGCGUAACGCGUGGGAAUCUGCCCUUAGGUACGGAAUAACAGUGAGAAAUUACUGCUAAUACCGUAUGAUGUCUUCGGACCAAAGAUUUAUCGCCUAGGGAUGAGCCCGCGUUGGAUUAGCUAGUUGGUGGGGUAAAGGCCUACCAAGGCGACGAUCCAUAGCUGGUCUGAGAGGAUGAUCAGCCACACUGGGACUGAGACACGGCCCAGACUCCUACGGGAGGCAGCAGUGGGGAAUAUUGGACAAUGGGCGAAAGCCUGAUCCAGCAAUGCCGCGUGAGUGAAGAAGGCCUUAGGGUUGUAAAGCUCUUUUACCCGGGAAGAUAAUGACUGUACCGGGAGAAUAAGCCCGGCUAACCUCCGUGCCAGCAGCCGCGA